AAAUACCACAACUGGGCCGUUAGCUCGGUCUUUUACAACAGACGGCGGCUGAUUUAUUAUGUGUACACGCUGACCAGCUACCAUGUUGUGCUUCAGCCGUUCUCUUUAAUUAUCUCAGUUAAAUCUCAGCACGUUCUGGUAAUAAAUGGACGGUGGUCAAAUUGCAUCCUGGGAGAAUAAAUCUGUGAACGUGGAGCUCUUCAUGUUCCUGUAGAUUAAGAGUUGGUAUUUGUUUUCAUAGAGAUGUGGUUUUUACACUACAGCUUGGUUUACAUUUGAGCCUGGUAUGAUGUACAAGUUUGCUCCUUGAACAAACCCCUUAAAUCCUAAGACCGUGUGUAUAUACAAUUCUCAUUGUUCAAUAAAGACUUCAUUUUGCAGUA
Molecule: long non-coding RNA, 383 nt
Organism: Tachysurus fulvidraco (yellow catfish)
Lineage: Eukaryota; Metazoa; Chordata; Actinopteri; Siluriformes; Bagridae
Exons: 3
Source: RefSeq, a predicted model, not a curated record